UACGUCGGUGGCAAGCGUUGUCCGGAUUUACUGGGCGUAAAGAGCGCGCAGGCGGUCGAUCAAGUCGCGUGUGAAAGCCCCCGGCUCAACUGGGGAGGGUCACGCGAUACUGAUCGACUCGAAGGCAGGAGAGGGUAGUGGAAUUCCCGGUGUAGUGGUGAAAUGCGUAGAUAUCGGGAGGAACACCAGUGGCGAAGGCGACUACCUGGCCUGUUCUUGACGCUGAGGCGCGAAAGCUAGGGGAGCAAACGGG
RNAcentral lists this ribosomal RNA (253 nucleotides) under uncultured bacterium. RNAcentral describes it as "partial 16S ribosomal RNA". It matches the Rfam family "Bacterial small subunit ribosomal RNA", at positions 524 to 776 of the family's 1533-position model. The record is from RNAcentral.